Molecule: transfer RNA, 65 nt
Filed under: Eurythoe complanata
Lineage: Eukaryota; Metazoa; Annelida; Polychaeta; Eunicida; Amphinomidae
Description: tRNA-Lys
Source: RNAcentral
CACUGGAGAGCUAAACUCCAGCAAUGGGCUUUUAACCCAGAGAAAGUAACCCUUACUUCCAGUGA